GCCAGUGUGCUGUAGUGGUUUGAGUGUUGGACUAUGACUCUGGAGAUCAGGGUUCACUUCCCAGCUCGGUCA
Molecule: non-coding RNA, 72 nt
Organism: Phrynosoma platyrhinos (Desert horned lizard)
Lineage: Eukaryota; Metazoa; Chordata; Lepidosauria; Squamata; Phrynosomatidae
Source: the annotation of a GenBank genome assembly